AGAGUUUGAUCMUGGCUCAGAACGAACGCUGGCGGCGGGCCUAACACAUGCAAGUCGCACGAGAAAAGCCCUAGCUUGCUAGGGCGAGUAAAGUGGCGCACGGGUGAGUAACGCGUGGUUAAUCUACCCCUGGGUUUGGGAUAACGCGCCGAAAGGUGCGCUAAUACCGGAUAAGACCACGAUGCCUGCGGGCAUUGAGGUAAAAGAGGGCCUCUACAUGUAAGCUCUUGCCUAGAGACGAGACCGCGUCCCAUUAGCUUGUUGGUGAGGUAACGGCUCACCAAGGCCGCGAUGGGUAGCUGAUCUGAGAGGAUGAUCAGCCACACUGGGACUGGAACACGGCCCAGACUCCUACGGGAGGCAGCAGUGAGGAAUCUUGCGCAAUGGGGGAAACCCUGACGCAGCCACGCCGCGUGGAUGAUGAAGGCCCUUGGGUCGUAAAAUCCUGUCAGAUGGAAAGAAAUGUACAGGUGUUAAUAUCGCCUGUAUUUGACGGUACCAUCAAAGGAAGCACCGGCUAACUCCGUGCCAGCCGCCGCGGUAAUA
This 546-nucleotide ribosomal RNA is filed under the name bacterium enrichment culture clone Cont122_3130. RNAcentral's name for it is "bacterial SSU rRNA". It matches the Rfam family "Bacterial small subunit ribosomal RNA", at positions 8 to 525 of the family's 1533-position model. The record is from RNAcentral.